CCGGCAACACAAAAUGUUUGUCUGCAAGCUUAACACAAAUGCAAUGGAAAAAGAAAGGCAGUUCACGGCGAUAAAUAACCACAUGUUUGGCAGAAAUUCUCGAGAAUUAAGGAAAACCAACCGUCGAAGACGAAUCAUCCGUCACCAAGAUAAUGCGAGCUCUCACGUAUCGGCGCACAAAAAAGGGUCUUUGGGAACUCAAAAGAUCGAUUUAAUGGGACAUCCGCCUUGCAGCCCUAAUUUGGCGCCUAAUAAUUCAUCUUUGUUCACGAACACCUGAGCCUUAAAGAGCUCGUUUUGGAGAUAUCCACCUCUGAGUGGCAAAAGUGCUUUGAAAAUUGGUUCAAGCGAAUGGAAAAAUAUAUUAUAUUGACUUCCAAGGAGAAUAUUGUGAAAAACAAUGAAGCCAUUACAUUAUUAUUUUGCGAAAAUUCGCGAAAUAUAAACUGAAAAGAAGGAAUUUGUGUAAAAACAACUCGUCGAUUUUGCACCAUGACAACGCACUGACGUAUAGUGUCGGCAUUAGACUCUAGAUUUUAACCAAGACCAAAACGAAUACAAUUCAACAGCCAUAAAAUUCACCCGAUGUGGCUCCGCGAGUCAAAAAACCACUAUGUGGACCACGUUUUAGCAGUCGAAAGGAAGUAAAGGAAAAAUUGAAGACGGCUCUGAUGGCUAUACCGAAAAUAGAGUUCCAGAAAUCUUUCGAGAGCUGCUGGCAUAGGUGCGGUGUAGUUGAUGGGAAGUGCUUUGAAGCCGAUAAUAUAACUUUUGAGGAAUAAGGAGACAAUUCGCUGAGCUGUACGUACUUUUUGCUUGAAAUACGUCUUCUCAUGACCUGGUUGAGAGACUCUAAUUGUUGUUGUAGUAGCAUAAACAUUCCCCAUACAUGUACGAAGAAUGCUGCUGAAUUAACAGUCCUUGGCCGGAUAUAAAUUCGGGUCGUUCUGGGUAGGAUUCUGAUUUUUAAGACUUUUGACGCCGAAAACUAGUGAGUUCUAAGCGAUACAGGUACUUGCCGUUAUCGCAUUCAAUAGUAAAUCUGUAGGAAUUUUUCUAACCAUCCUUGAAAUAAAAUCGCCGCAUUCGGAACUUUCGUUUGAUGUACGCCAACACAGCGUCAUAGCAACCACAGUGAAAAAUUAUUCAGCCGAUUGCAUAUUGUGGGCGCGUCAGUGGAAGCUGCCAAGGCUUAAAAUAAAUACACACAAGUGAAAAUAUCAGCGCCGCCAUCAACCAGUCCGUCAGCCU
Molecule: long non-coding RNA, 1251 nt
Organism: Anastrepha ludens (Mexican fruit fly)
Lineage: Eukaryota; Metazoa; Arthropoda; Insecta; Diptera; Tephritidae
Exons: 4
Source: RefSeq, a predicted model, not a curated record